Molecule: ribosomal RNA, 525 nt
Filed under: Alternaria alternata
Lineage: Eukaryota; Fungi; Ascomycota; Dothideomycetes; Pleosporales; Pleosporaceae
Also listed under: 1 other name
Description: eukaryotic LSU rRNA
Rfam family: 5.8S ribosomal RNA (bases 150-303)
Source: RNAcentral
GGCUGGAACCUCUCGGGGUUACAGCCUUGCUGAAUUAUUCACCCUUGUCUUUUGCGUACUUCUUGUUUCCUUGGUGGGUUCGCCCACCACUAGGACAAACAUAAACCUUUUGUAAUUGCAAUCAGCGUCAGUAACAAAUUAAUAAUUACAACUUUCAACAACGGAUCUCUUGGUUCUGGCAUCGAUGAAGAACGCAGCGAAAUGCGAUAAGUAGUGUGAAUUGCAGAAUUCAGUGAAUCAUCGAAUCUUUGAACGCACAUUGCGCCCUUUGGUAUUCCAAAGGGCAUGCCUGUUCGAGCGUCAUUUGUACCCUCAAGCUUUGCUUGGUGUUGGGCGUCUUGUCUCUAGCUUUGCUGGAGACUCGCCUUAAAGUAAUUGGCAGCCGGCCUACUGGUUUCGGAGCGCAGCACAAGUCGCACUCUCUAUCAGCAAAGGUCUAGCAUCCAUUAAGCCUUUUUUUCAACUUUUGACCUCGGAUCAGGUAGGGAUACCCGCUGAACUUAAGCAUAUCAAUAAGCGGAGGAA